Molecule: ribosomal RNA, 219 nt
Filed under: uncultured bacterium
Lineage: Bacteria
Description: partial 16S ribosomal RNA
Rfam family: Bacterial small subunit ribosomal RNA
Source: RNAcentral
GACAGAGGGGGGCAAGCGUUGCUCGGAAUUACUGGGCGUAAAGGGCGCGUAGGCGGGAUGGCAAGUCGGUCGUGAAAUCCCUCGGCUCAACCGAGGAACGUCGAUCGAUACUGCUGUUCUUGAGGAUUGCAGAGGAGACUGGAAUUCCCGGUGUAGCGGUGAAAUGCGCAGAUAUCGGGGAGGAACACCAAUGGCGAAGGCAGCUCGCUGGGACGUGAC